AAAGAUGAAUCUACGAUAGAGCUUUCCUAUCCUUCUGUUGUCCAAUCAGCUGUCAUCUUAUCAAAAUCCAGCAACGCAUCGUCUAAAUCCAUCUACGGCAAAAUAGCCAUCAUCUUUACUUGUCACAACGAAAAUCUUGUAUUAUGAUCCAAUAGCGGAAUAUUAUAUUUCAAAGUAGCCAUCUCUGAAAAAGUCUCAAUCAAAUCAUGAAAAGCCUGCAACUUAAUGGUAUAAUAUGAAAUAUGUAAGAUCACAACCAAUAGCAAUGUUAUAUUAAUUGACAAUAUGGAGAGAAUACAACUACAACAAUAAAGCUUCACAAAUCUAGAGAAAGAGUCUAGUAUUUAUAGGAAAAAAUCCAUCCUUAGAAGUAGAUUUGUAGAUGAAAUAAAAUGCCAAAAGUUUCCUUAUUUGAUCUCAGCAAGUCCAACACAAAUUUCAACUCCUAAUAGGCUUCCAAAUAGAACUUUAACUAGAAUUUCUCAAUUAAACUUGAAUAUUAUUUCUCAAUGGCAUUCCAAUUAAAAUUUCUCUUGAUGUACACUUCAAUUAGAACUCUACAAUUUAUUUCAACAAGGAAUUCAGUCACACCAAAUUCCAACAAGGAAGCAAUGACAACAAAUCAUGUUUAGGUUGCUCAAAAAGCUGAAGCUGUAGUUGAUGAGGAAGAUUUGAUAAUUGCAGAGUUUAUGGCCCUUAUUGGUGGUAAAAAGUUAGUCAAGCAUCACUUAUCCUUUAUAUGGGCAUAUGCUAAUUUCCAACUCCGAUCGGAAGUGACCAAUCUCUUUCAAAAUCACAAUCAUUUGCAAUUUUAUGGUAAGGAGCAUGAAAAUCCACACGAGCAUGUAUCAUGUUUUCUGGAAUUAUUUGAGAUAUUUGUUUAUGAGGAGGUCAGGGAAGAAACCAUUCGAAUGUAUUUAUUCCCACAUAAACUUAAGGAUAAUGAACGGAAAUGGCAAUAUUCAUUAUCUGCUGGUAGCAUUACUUCAUA
This 991-nucleotide long non-coding RNA is filed under the name Olea europaea (common olive). RNAcentral describes it as "long non-coding RNA (OEUR_LNC013546)". The record is from RNAcentral. Lineage: Eukaryota; Viridiplantae; Streptophyta; Magnoliopsida; Lamiales; Oleaceae.